CGUUCGUUGGCCGUUCGGUAGGUGCGAACGGAGCUGCCUGAGGGGAGCAGCGCUGUGGCGCGGACGGAGGCUGGGCGGUCACUCCCUUCCGCGGCCAACGGACCAGGGCUCCCCCCGCAGAGAAUGCAGAACUUGUGCCACAUCACUGACCCUGGAUUUUCACCAUUUUGAGUCCCAUUGUGAGAGGAAAGCAGCUCAGGAGCAUUUUAAAUAAAUAUUCUAAAUGAUGAUUGAAGAGAGUGGAAAAAGGAGGAGGACGAUGGCAGAGAAGAGACAGCUGUUCAUGGAAAUGAGGGCUCAGAAUUUUGAUGUCAUCCGACUGUCCACAUAUCGAACUGCCUGCAAACUGAGAUUUGUGCAAAAAAGAUGUAAUCUUCACCUUGUGGAUAUCUGGAACAUGAUUGAAGCCUUCCGAGACAAUGGCCUUAAUACACUGGAUCACAACACAGAGAUCAACGUGUCUCGACUGGAAACCAUAAUUUCAUCCAUCUACUACCAGCUGAAUAAACGCCUUCCUUCUACUCACCAGAUCAGCGUGGAGCAAUCCAUCAGCCUUCUCCUCAACUUCAUGAUAGCAGCAUAUGACAGCGAGGGCCACGGGAAGUUGACGGUCUUUUCCAUAAAAGCGAUGUUGGCAACCAUGUGUGGCGGAAAAAUUCUGGACAAGUUAAGAUAUAUUUUCUCUCAGAUGUCUGAUUCCAAUGGCUUGAUGAUAUUUUCAAAGUUUGACCAGUUUCUGCGAGAGGUUUUGAAACUUCCAACAGCUGUUUUUGAAGGACCUUCCUUUGGCUACACAGAAAACUCUGUGCGGACAUGUUUUCCUCAGCAGAAAAAGGUCAUGCUAAACAUGUUCUUAGACACAUUAAUGGCUGACCCACCGCCCCAGUGCCUUGUGUGGCUACCUCUCAUGCACAGACUUGCCCACGUCGAAAAUGUCUUCCAUCCAGUGGAAUGUUCUUACUGCCGGUGUGAGAGCAUGAUGGGCUUCCGGUACCGAUGCCAGCAGUGCCACAACUACCAGCUCUGUCAAAACUGUUUUUGGCGCGGCCACGCAAACGGCCCUCACAGCAACCAGCAUCAGAUGAAGGAGCAUUCCUCUUGGAAAUCGCCUGCCAAGAAGCUGAGCCAUGCCAUUAGUAAAUCUCUUGGUUGUGUACCCACUAGAGAGCCUCCUCACCCUGUAUAUCCGGAACAGCCAGAGAAGCCCCUUGACCUUGCCCAUAUAGUCCCUUCUCGGCCCCUCACUAACAUGAACGAUGCCAUGGUUACCCACAUGUCUUCUGGAGCCCCCACGCCAACAAAAAGGUUGCAGUGCAGCUUGGGCCCCUCCAGUCGGCUCAGCGAUGAGCACGCCCUGAUAGCAGCCUAUGUGAGCCGGCUACAGAGCGGUACACGCAGUGUCCUCGAUAGCCCCAGCAGAUUGGACGAAGAACACAGGCUAAUUGCCCGGUACGCUGCCAGGUUGGCUGCUGAAGCUGGCAAUGUGCCACGUCCACCGACAGACCUUGGGUUCAGCUUCGAUGCAAACAAGCAGCAAAGGCAGCUGAUAGCAGAACUGGAAAACAAGAACAGAGAAAUACUGCAAGAAAUCCAGCGCCUCCGAUUGGAGCAUGAACAGGCCUCCCAGCCUACACCGGAGAAAGCCCAGCAGAAUCCAACAUUGCUGGCAGAACUCCGGCUAUUGCGGCAAAGAAAGGAUGAGCUGGAACAGCGAAUGUCUGCUCUGCAGGAAAGCCGAAGGGAGCUGAUGGUUCAACUAGAAGGGCUCAUGAAACUGCUCAAGGAGGAGGAGCAAAAGCAGGCAGCCCAGGCAGCAGGUUCUCCACACACCUCUCCUACCCACGGGACUGGCCGAUCGAUGCCCAUGCCAGUCAGGUCAACAUCUGCUGGCUCCACCCCAACUCAUGUACCCCAAGAUUCACUUGCUGGCGUCGGUGGAGAUGUUCAGGAAGCAUUUGCACAAGGAACCUCAGCUGAAACUCCAUUCGUGAAUGCACUGGUAGCCAGCUGAUUCAAUUACCAACACAAUGUCGUCUUUGGUGAAGGAGCUUCAUUCAGGUGAAGAAGGAGGGGAAGAGGAGGAUGACAAGAUGCAGAAUGGAAAGGACAGAGGUUAACCAGAAGGACUCAGUUUAGCCACUGAUUCAAGUAACAAGGUGUGAGCUCCUGUUCUAAAGACGUCUCUGCAUCCUUCAGCCGAGGCAUGUUCCAGCCGACACAUCCACCAUUGUGAUGCCGUGAAGAUCACAACCAGCAGGGAAGUGCCCUCCUUCUGACAGACUGAGUGGCUUUCCUAGGGGGGGAGGGUGGGGGGGCACUUCCUUAGGUUUGCAUGUCCUGUUUCCAUAGGUGUUCCCGUGCUAAUUGGACAGAGCCUCAUCUCGGUCUUGAGGAGAAAUGCUAAGAGCAGCUUCUCAGGAAUCCGAGCCACCCGCCCGUGAAAGGGUCUCAGUUUCCCACCCAGCAGCCUCGUCACCACCUCAUCAAGCCAUGGGCAUCUCCACUUGUGACCUUCGCCCCCUCGUUUGCACGUUGAAAAGCAGACUUGCAACCUGCCAAGUUUCCUGAUGCGCGGCGCCCUCCAAAUGCUGAGCACGGACCCUUCUUUAAGCCACUCUCACAUUUUCUCUCUCUCGCUGUCUUGCUGAAUGUUGGGCUACCUUGGGGCUUUGCAGGUGCAGUAUUGCCGUGCCUCACAGUGCAGGUAAGGCAUGAGGGGGUAAGAGGCAAAUGCAGACCCAUGACGAGGCAAAGCAGGCUGGCUCCAAAGACGCCAUCUGUCAGGAAGCUCUCCUGCUCAGGCCUCCCUGGAAGGUAUCGGAUCUGUUCAAAAAGCACGGCUGGUUUCAGCAAGGAUGGCACAGGAGAGCUUCCUGGCGGGGAGUGUGCCUUGGGAAGUAAUGGGGAAGAGGACAUUCCUUCUGCUGGAGGAAAAGAGGUUCUUGGCAAUUAGUGGGGGCUUGGCAUUUGGGGCAAUUCUGACUGGGUCCCGGCAGCUUUUUAGCUUGUGUGUUGGCUCAUAAGCUGUUAAAAAAAGAGACUUCACUAGCCUGCUGAUGGGGCUAGAGAUUGUUGUCGCCUUUCUGUAGUGAUUUGGAAACCUGUACCAUCCAUUCCACCCUCUGGUGGUUCUGUUUUUCCUCCUGGAGCUGUGGAAAGCAUUCUUAGUACGGAGGAGUCAAUGGUGUUAAUUUAUAGUGGACAUUAAGCGAAGGGGAGCUACAAACCCUGGAGCCCACUCCUGCCUUCCUGCCUCAACUGGCUGGCCAAGGCAGAGGGACCUUGCUGGUUCCACCCACCCCUUAGGGGGCGUGUCUGUGUGUGAUAGAGUGAAAGUAAGCAGCCUUGUUGGCUGGAAGCUUCAUCCAGGCUAAAUAUUGUGAAUGAACCGUCAGGUGGUUAGCGAAGUGAUGUUAGCUGUGUUUCAGGAUGUGUACUUAAGGCCUGCACAGCAGCAGCAGAUGGUUCUCCUGCCUGUCAUUGGGUGUGGUGAGCUGGAUGGGGCAAGUGGGGAGUCAAUUCCAAGCACAAAAGUUUGGCCUGAAGUACUUGAGGUCUGUGGCUGUAGACAAAGACAUUCCGCUCAUGCAACACCCAAAGGCAGGAGGUUCUGCACUUAGCCCUUAUUCUGACUCAGGCUAGGAAAGUAAGAUGUGAAUGCUGAAAAAGUGCCCUCCAAAAUCAGCUUGGAAAGCACCGUUUUGGGUCUUGUGAGCUCAGUGAAAUCUACAUUCAGAAACAAAAUGAGGGUGAGCCCCUAGAGGUUCAGUUUCAUGGUGGCAAACUCAGGUACCUAGGCUGAGGACCUUGAGGAAGGCAUUCUUGACGAGGUCAGGUGGCCCCAUGAGGUUUCUUUUUGUGUCCUCGCAGGGCUUUGGUGAUAGAUACACUUCCUGCCCCUAGAGGUUCAGUUUCUAGCUUUCAUGGUUAACAGCCAUUGGUGGGCGGUGACAGUCCUUCUUCUUGAAUUGGUCUAAUUCUUUUAAAAGCCAUGUAUGCUAAUGCCAUCACAGCAGUGGCGUAGCGCCCAGGGGACGGGGUGGGGCAUCUUGCCCCGGGUGUGCGCUGGUCGUGGGCGUGGCGUGGGUGUUCCGGGGGCGUGGCAGGGGCACAGGGCACACAGUGUCCCAGGCACAGUUCCCACUAGCUCCGCCCCUGCAUCACAGCCAAGCAAAACUAGUCAGGAUUGCAAUGCACUGCGACAUGUUGGCCCGUUUGCAAGAUCCAUGCUCAAAAUGUCACCACCUUGUGAGUCCCCAUGUCAUUCUGAAUUGUGUAAUCAGAUUCUUCAGUUGAGGAAGAGGAAAGGGCAUCUGGGAGUUCCGUUCCACUCAAUCUUGCACGCCACAAAUGAAAAUCUGGAGAUGUGAGGUUAAUUCCUGCUUCCUUUGGAAUUUUACGACCAUUGUCUGAAUUUUCAGACCUCCGUUCUGCCUGAACAAGGUGGCUUAAGCAUCAUUCUCUGCUGCAGAUACGCAACAUUGAUAACAGUGUGUGCUCCUUUGUUUUCCCAAAACCACCAGUGAUUUUGCAGUGCUUACCAUUAAGAAGCAGCUCCAUCUUACUCCUCCCCAUACAGGGAGCAGGCAAAGAGUUAUGCAGGUGACAGGUGAGUGGAGCAGAAGUCAAAGUGUUCAGUGAAUCUUUUGGGAGGGGGUGGAGGGUAGCAUCCUGGGAGUGAGCAGGAUGCCUCGGUUGUUGUCCUGGCCAUCCCAGGGCUACUGUAAGAGAGGUUGAGGUUGACACUCCUUCUCAGUAAGCUAAGAGGUUUGUGCUAAAUGGCAGUGCCUACCCUCAGCCUGUCACUGACCACCUGCGCACCUUUGGAACCAGCCCUAUAAAUAGGAGCAGUUUUCCAUGGAGCAGUAAGUUAACAUCCUGUUAUAACUAAAAAGUUAUAACAUUAACUCAUCACUGUCUUCAGAGGGGAAGGCUCUGCUGCAGUCGUUUUUCCUUUUCCCACUAAGCCCUUUACCACUUAAGUAGGUGAGUGCAGCAAACCCAGUCGCUUCUGGCGAAGAAGGCUCGGGUGUCUGUUCCUGUUCAAACCAUGACAAGAUGGAUAAGUGAGGUUUCGCAGCCUGCAGUCUGUUGCACAGUGACCCCUCGGUGCCAUGCUCCUGGAUCACUUCACCUGCAACGCCCGUAUAUUUUAGCCUACAAAGCAGUUGAGCCAGAUGCUUUAUAUUACUGGAGCCAAAGGGGCUAGUGGCCUGGCUCCCUGCCAGGCUCUAAACCUGCCUCAGAGGGUGAGAGAUUUAGAGGCAGCUGGCAGCUUACCCAUCCUCUCCUCCUAGAGGCGCUUGGGAACAGCUCCCUUUUCUCCCAACUGCAUCUCACCUGCAGCCCUUGGGAAUGGAAGACAGGUGUGCCGCUGAGCUGUUGGAGCCCUCUGAUGGGCUUAUGCCACCCAAAACCUGUGCUCUGGGUGUUGUCUGCAUCCCUUGGAAACAUGUAUGUUGUUUGGAGCCUGUUUCUUUGUGUCCUAAGACACCCAUAUCACCAGAAUUUUUUAACCUAUCAGACCCACUAAGGACAGUGCCCGGGAAGAUGUGCAGAAAUCCUUUGUCAAGCUGUCAGUCAUCACACAGAGCUGAAUCGUGUUUGGCAAAUUGAAUGAGGUGGACAAUAAGGGGUCGGAUACUUUCACAAUCACAGAUUGUGUUACUAUCCUAAGCCUGAAGGGGAUUUCAUAGCAUAUCUGCAUAUGCCCUCUGGAACACCCAGCCAUUGAAAUCUCCAACACCGUUCGAGAAGACCAUGCAUACUUGCAGUGAUUCGUCUCUUUGACCAUGUGCCCUUGCAAUGAUUAGUCUCUUGCCUCGCCAGUGAAGGGUAUUCAUUUUGUUCUCAGAAUCUGUUUCAGGCAUUGCCUUCCCCUCAGUGAAGUUCUCCUUUAGAGAAGAAGCAGAACUCAUCUGCUCUCCUGUCAUCUCUUUGUGUUGUCCUGGGAUGCAGAUCUAGGAUUAUGUUCCCUUGAGGCCUCAUUUUGAAACCUCAUUGCUGACUGGAACUUUGAUGGCUACUGGACUUGGCUUCUGCCUGAGAUCCUGGGCAAAAAUAUAAAGAAGAGUUUGGAUUUAUACCCCACCUUUCCCUCCUGUAAGGAGACUCAACGUAGCUUACAAAUUCCUUUCUCUUCCUUUUCCUUCAACAGAC
Molecule: RNA transcript, 6159 nt
Organism: Sphaerodactylus townsendi
Lineage: Eukaryota; Metazoa; Chordata; Lepidosauria; Squamata; Sphaerodactylidae
Gene: DTNB
Gene name: dystrobrevin beta
Exons: 22
Source: RefSeq, a predicted model, not a curated record